UUAAUGGAGAGUUUGAUCCUGGCUCAGGACGAACGCUGGCGGCGUGCCUAAUACAUGCAAGUCGAGCGCUUGGGGAGUUCCUUCGGGAAUCCCCCGGGAGCGGCGGACGGGUGAGUAACACGUAGGCAACCUGCCUGUAAGACUGGGAUAACUACCGGAAACGGUAGCUAAGACCGGAUAAGUGGUCUUCUCGCAUGAGAGGAUCAAGAAACACGGGGCAACCUGUGGCUUACAGAUGGGCCUGCGGCGCAUUAGCUAGUUGGUGGGGUAACGGCUCACCAAGGCGACGAUGCGUAGCCGACCUGAGAGGGUGAUCGGCCACACUGGGACUGAGACACGGCCCAGACUCCUAC
RNAcentral lists this ribosomal RNA (353 nucleotides) under Paenibacillus ehimensis. RNAcentral's name for it is "bacterial SSU rRNA". It matches the Rfam family "Bacterial small subunit ribosomal RNA", at positions 1 to 342 of the family's 1533-position model. Lineage: Bacteria; Bacillati; Bacillota; Bacilli; Caryophanales; Paenibacillaceae. The record is from RNAcentral.